This 253-nucleotide ribosomal RNA is filed under the name uncultured bacterium. RNAcentral's name for it is "partial 16S ribosomal RNA". It matches the Rfam family "Bacterial small subunit ribosomal RNA", at positions 524 to 776 of the family's 1533-position model. The record is from RNAcentral.
UACGUAGGGGGCAAGCGUUGUCCGGAUUUAUUGGGCGUAAAGAGCGUGUAGGCGGCCUGACAGGUCUGCUGUGAAAACUCGAGGCUCAACCUCGAGAUGUCGGCGGAAACCGUCUGGCUAGAGUCCGGAAGAGGAGAGUGGAAUUCCUGGUGUAGCGGUGAAAUGCGCAGAUAUCAGGAAGAACACCAAUGGCGAAGGCAGCUCUCUGGGACGGUACUGACGCUGAGACGCGAAAGCGUGGGGAGCGAACAGG